Molecule: ribosomal RNA, 406 nt
Filed under: uncultured bacterium
Lineage: Bacteria
Description: partial 16S ribosomal RNA
Rfam family: Bacterial small subunit ribosomal RNA
Source: RNAcentral
AUUGAACGCUGGCGGCAGGCCUAACACAUGCAAGUCGAACGAGUGGCGGACGGGUGAGUAAUGUCUGGGAAACUGCCCGAUGGAGGGGGAUAACUACUGGAAACGGUAGCUAAUACCGCAUACCAUCGGAUGUGCCCAGAUGGGAUUAGCUAGUAGGUGGGGUAACGGCUCACCUAGGCGACGAUCCCUAGCUGGUCUGAGAGGAUGACCAGCCACACUGGAACUGAGACAAGGUCAAGACUCCUACGGAAGGCAGCAGUGGGGAGGAUUGCACAAUGGGCACAAGCCUGAUGCAGCCAUGCCGCGUGUAUGAAGAAGGCCUUCGGGUUGUAAAGUACUUUCAGCGAGGAGGCGUUACUCGCAGAAGAAGCAACGGCUAACUCCGUGCCAGCCGCCGCGGUAAUAC